GGCCUGGAGGAAGUUCCUUGGUCGAGUGUCACAAAUAAGUUCAGACUCCUCUGCCGCUGCCAGAUGCUUGGCCAGACUGCUCGCUGAGGGGACUUGAUGUGGCACAUGUACCGCUCGGCGCAGGGCAGUGCCACCUGCUUAUCAGGCCCAGCUGCCGAUCAGACUCGAUUAAAAAAACCCAACAAACGCUUGGCCAACACCCAGUUCUUAGUACUUAGCCGGAGACCUUACUACUUGGUUAGUGCCUUAGCUUCCUGAGAAGGGGUUGACAUUUCACUUUGGAGCUAGACGUACAUUUCAGUGGAGGAGCAGGGACCUCAGACAAGGUAUUGAACCUCAUUCAGUCAGGGCUGCAGCCGGCGGCUGCACUCGGCCUGUGCCGCUGAGCUAGGAUGUAGGACGGUGUGGAAGCAGAUGUGACACUGUUUCAGAUUGGUUCUUUGAGGGAGGGGGGAG
This 456-nucleotide long non-coding RNA is filed under the name Gallus gallus (chicken). RNAcentral's name for it is "long non-coding RNA NONGGAT004364". Lineage: Eukaryota; Metazoa; Chordata; Aves; Galliformes; Phasianidae. The record is from RNAcentral.